This 305-nucleotide ribosomal RNA is filed under the name uncultured bacterium. RNAcentral's name for it is "partial 16S ribosomal RNA". It matches the Rfam family "Bacterial small subunit ribosomal RNA", at positions 337 to 644 of the family's 1533-position model. The record is from RNAcentral.
UCCUACGGGGGGCAGCAGUGGGGAAUAUUGCACAAUGGGGGAAACCCUGAUGCAGCGACGCCGCGUGAGUGAAGAAGUAUCUCGGUACGUAAAGCUCUAUCAGCAGGGAAGAAAAAAAAUCUUUGGCUUUGGACGGUACCUGACUAAGAAGCCCCGGCUAACUACGUGCCAGCAGCCGCGGUAAUACGUAGGGGGCAAGCGUUAUCCGGAUUUACUGGGUGUAAAGGGAGCGUAGACGGCAGCGCAAGUCUGGAGUGAAAUGCCGGGGCUCAACCCCGGAACUGCUUUGGACACUGUGCAGCUAG